RNAcentral lists this ribosomal RNA (143 nucleotides) under Felis catus (domestic cat). RNAcentral's name for it is "partial small subunit ribosomal RNA". Lineage: Eukaryota; Metazoa; Chordata; Mammalia; Carnivora; Felidae. The record is from RNAcentral.
UGAUUAGAUACCCCACUAUGCUUAGCCCUAAACUUAGAUAGUUAUCCUAAACAAAACUAUCCGCCAGAGAACUACUAGCAAUAGCUUAAAACUCAAAGGACUUGGCGGUGCUUUACAUCCCUCUAGAGGAGCCUGUUCUAGUA